UACGUAGGGUGCGAGCGUUGUCCGGAAUUGUUGGGCGUAAAGAGCUCGUAGGCGGUGUGUCACGUCGGCCGUGAAAACCUGCAGCUUAACUGUGGAACUGCGUCUGAUACUGGAUGGCUUGAGUUUGGGAGAGGGACGCGGAAUUCCAGGUGUAGCGGUGAAAUGCGUAGAUAUCUGGAGGAACACCGGUGGCGAAGGCGGCGUCCUGGACCAACACUGACACUGAAAAGCGAAAGCCAGGGGAGCAAACGGG
This 253-nucleotide ribosomal RNA is filed under the name uncultured bacterium. RNAcentral's name for it is "partial 16S ribosomal RNA". It matches the Rfam family "Bacterial small subunit ribosomal RNA", at positions 524 to 776 of the family's 1533-position model. The record is from RNAcentral.